Molecule: long non-coding RNA, 1593 nt
Organism: Equus caballus (horse)
Lineage: Eukaryota; Metazoa; Chordata; Mammalia; Perissodactyla; Equidae
Source: Ensembl
GGGAGCGCCGUCUGUGCCUCGCUGCCUGGAGUUUAUGCCCUGCCAUUAAUCCUUAAGGUCUGAUUCCAGCAAGCCCUCCAGACAUCACCAAAGCUGAGAAAAUCCUCUCGCCACCGUUUCUCUUCAAAAAGUCUAAGAAAGCUGAAAGCCCAACAGAGAUUAGCCCUGAGCUAACUACUGCCAGUCCACCUCUUUUUUGCUGAGGAAGCCUGGCCCAGAGCUAACAUCAGUGCCCAUCUUCCUCUACUUUAUACGUGGGACACCUACCACAGCAUGGCGUGCCAAGUGGUGCCAUGUCUGCACCUGGGAUCCAAACCGGUGAACCCCAGGCCACCGAGAAGUGGAACGUGUGAACUUAACUGCUGUGCCACCGGGCCAGCCCCUCAUGUAUUUCUUGAUUUUUCAUAGUGCCAAGAACCAGGUCAGGUAUAUAGAAGGCACUAGAUAAAUAGCUGUUGAAUGAAUUAGUGAGUAUUUUUCUGACUUGCAUGAGUGGUUGCACAAUGAGCAUAUAUUACUUCUAUCAUCAUUGAAGGAUAGGGAGAGCAAUAAAUGUUAAUGUAAAAAAGUAAGCUGUAGUCUGAUGAAAAUUCAUAUCCUUACAUGUUUUUACUAGAAAAUAAACAACAAUAUCAACAACCCACAGAAGUUUGAAUAUUGUAUAAGUGACCAAACGUCGAACAGGGCUUAUGCUGUAGCGUCCGUUUAGGAGGAGACACGGUCAAGUCCAUGGACCCUCCCCCAGCCAUGAGGAGUCUCUAUGAGCACGUGGAAUCUUCCUCAGAGUCAACGUGGAACCCUGAGCACCCCUGAGAACCUGGACCACCUCUGGGCUGAUCUGGCUGGCAGUGGGGGUGGGGGGCUAGAUUCUAAACUGGGUAAGCGUUUGGGACUUAGAUAUUCAACUGAACUAGACUUUUAUUUUUAAGGAAGAUUAUCCCUGAGCUAACAUCUGCUGCCAAUCCUCCUCUUUUUGCUGAGGAAGACUGGCCCUGAGCUAACAUCCGUGCCCAUCUUCCUCUACUUUACACGUGGGACUCCUACCACAGCAUGGCUUGCCAAGCAGUGCCACGUCCACACCCAGGAUCUGAACCGGCGAACCCUGGGCUGGCACACUUAACCGCUGUGCUACUGGGCCGGCCCUGAACUAGACUUUUUAUUAUAGAAUAUGGGAUUAUUUAUUAAUACCCAAAAGUAACCAGAAAGCUAUGGAAUCUGCCUGUGGUUUCAUGGGAAGAACACGAGUUGCUGGACGGCUGUUCUGAGCCUCGGCUUGCAUCUUCCUGAGGCCGUUCAUCAAACGAACGGAUUCCACUUGUUAAGUGAUAAGAACUGCUGCGUCCUCGAAGGAGCCUUGUUGGCUCCUGUGUCCCUGCUUCCUACUAGCCCACUGCCCGGUGCAGUCCGGUUGCUGCUCCUUACAUGCCCUAGGCGGUCGGCAAAUGUUUGCGGACGGAAUGAAAGUGGAUCCUCGGAUCUGCUGCACUCGGGACAUUUGGUGAAGGGCAGAGGAGGGAGAAAGCAGGACCAAGAGGACGCAUGCAUGUGUGACGACAGCAUGGGGGAGGCAAUGGUCGCGUGCAUUGGUGGGAG